This is a small nuclear RNA of Callithrix jacchus (white-tufted-ear marmoset), 106 nucleotides long. Lineage: Eukaryota; Metazoa; Chordata; Mammalia; Primates; Cebidae. The record is from Ensembl.
GCACUCGCUUCAGCAGCACAUAUGUUAACAUCGGAACAUACAGGGAAGGUUAGCAUGGUCCCUGAGCAAGAAUGACACAUAAGUUUAUGAAUAUUCCAUAUUUUUU